RNAcentral lists this ribosomal RNA (491 nucleotides) under uncultured bacterium. RNAcentral's name for it is "bacterial SSU rRNA". It matches the Rfam family "Bacterial small subunit ribosomal RNA", at positions 28 to 517 of the family's 1533-position model. The record is from RNAcentral.
GAUGAACGCUAGCGGCAGGCUUAACACAUGCAAGUCGAGGGGUAUAGUUCUUCGGAAUUAGAGACCGGCGCACGGGUGCGUAACGCGUAUGCAAUCUACCUUUCACAGAGGGAUAGCCCAGAGAAAUUUGGAUUAAUACCUCAUAGUAUAGCAGUUUCGCAUGAAACCACUAUUAAAGUCACAACGGUGAAAGAUGAGCAUGCGUCCCAUUAGCUAGUUGGUAAGGUAACGGCUUACCAAGGCAACGAUGGGUAGGGGUCCUGAGAGGGAGAUCCCCCCACACUGGUACUGAGACACGGACCAGACUCCUACGGGAGGCAGCAGUGAGGAAUAUUGGACAAUGGGCGCGAAGUCCUGAUCCAGCCAUGCCGCGUGCAGGAUGACGGUCCUAUGGAUUGUAAACUGCUUUUAUACAGGAAGAAACACUGGUUCGUGAACCAGCUUGACGUACUGUAAGAAUAAGGAUCGGCUAAACUCCGUGCCAGCAGCCG